GUGGGGAAUCUUCCGCAAUGGACGAAAGUCUGACGGAGCAACGCCGCGUGAGUGAAGAAGGGUUUCGGCUCGUAAAGCUCUGUUGUCGGGGACGAACGUGAGAUAUUUGAAUAAAGUGUCUUAAUGACGGUACCUGACGAGGAAGCCACGGCUAACUACGUGCCAGCAGCCGCGGUAAUACGUAGGUGGCAAGCGUUGUCCAGAAUUAUUGGGCGUAAAGGGAGCGCAGGCGGGAAGGUAAGUCGGUCUUAAAAGUGCGGGGCUCAACCCCGUGAUGGGAUCGAAACUAUCUUUCUUGAGUGCAGGAGAGGAAAGUGGAAUUCCUAGUGUAGCGGUGAAAUGCGUAGAUAUUAGGAGGAACACCAGUGGCGAAGGCGACUUUCUGGACUGUAACUGACGCUGAGGCUCGAAAGCCAGGGGAGCGAACGGGAUUAGAAACCCUUGUAGUCC
RNAcentral lists this ribosomal RNA (450 nucleotides) under uncultured bacterium. Its description in RNAcentral is "partial 16S ribosomal RNA". It matches the Rfam family "Bacterial small subunit ribosomal RNA", at positions 354 to 796 of the family's 1533-position model. The record is from RNAcentral.